Molecule: ribosomal RNA, 493 nt
Filed under: uncultured bacterium
Lineage: Bacteria
Description: partial 16S ribosomal RNA
Rfam family: Bacterial small subunit ribosomal RNA
Source: RNAcentral
ACGAACGCUGGCGGCGUGCCUAAUACAUGCAAGUAGAACGCUGAAGGCGGAGCUUGCUUCUCUGGAUGAGUUGCGAACGGGUGAGUAACGCGUAGGUAACCUGCCUGGUAGCGGGGGAUAACUAUUGGAAACGAUAGCUAAUACCGCAUAAGAGUAGAUGUUGCAUGACAUUUGCUUAAAAGGUGCAAUUGCAUCACUACCAGAUGGACCUGCGGUGUAUUAGUUAGUUGGUGGGGUAACGGCUCACCAAGGCGAGGAUACGUAGCCGACCGGAGAGGGUGAGCAGCGACAUGGGAACUGAGAGAGGGUCAAGACUCCUAUGGGAGGAAGCAGUGGGGAAUAUUGGACAAGGGGCGGAAGCGUGAUCAAGAAAUACGAGGUGGGUGAAGAAGGCGUGCGGGUUGGAAAGCCCUGUGGUUGGGAAAGAAAAGCAGCAGGUUAAUAACCCGAUGGUCUGACGGUACCCAAAGAAUAAGCACCGGCUAACUUCGUG